This 679-nucleotide ribosomal RNA is filed under the name Enterococcus faecium. RNAcentral describes it as "partial 23S ribosomal RNA". It matches the Rfam family "Bacterial large subunit ribosomal RNA", at positions 1 to 684 of the family's 2925-position model. Lineage: Bacteria; Bacillati; Bacillota; Bacilli; Lactobacillales; Enterococcaceae. RNAcentral also lists the same sequence under 1 other name. The record is from RNAcentral.
GGUUAAGUGAAUAAGGGCGCACGGUGGAUGCCUUGGCACUAGGAGCCGAUGAAGGACGGGACUAACACCGAUAUGCUUUGGGGAGCUGUACGUAAGCUAUGAUCCAGAGAUUUCCGAAUGGGGGAACCCAGCAUCUUUAAUAGGAUGUUACGAUUGUGUGAAUACAUAGCACAUUCGAGGUAGACGCAGAGAACUGAAACAUCUAAGUACCUGCAGGAAGAGAAAGAAAAUUCGAUUCCCUGAGUAGCGGCGAGCGAAACGGGAAAAGCCCAAACCAACAAGCUUGCUUGUUGGGGUUGUAGGACUCCAAUAUGGUCGUUCUUUCAGAUAGUCGAAUGACUUGGAAAAGUCAGUCAAAGAGGGUAAAAACCCCGUAGACGAAAUGUGGAAGACACCUAGGAGGAUCCUGAGUACGGCGGAACACGAGAAAUUCCGUCGGAAUCCGGGAGGACCAUCUCCCAAGGCUAAAUACUCCCUAGUGACCGAUAGUGAACCAGUACCGUGAGGGAAAGGUGAAAAGCACCCCGGAAGGGGAGUGAAAUAGAACCUGAAACCGUGUGCCUACAACAAGUCAAAGCCCGUUAAUGGGUGAUGGCGUGCCUUUUGUAGAAUGAACCGGCGAGUUACGAUUGCAUGCGAGGUUAAGUUGAAGAGACGGAGCCGCAGCGAAAGCGAGUCU